RNAcentral lists this non-coding RNA (112 nucleotides) under Trichlorobacter ammonificans. RNAcentral's name for it is "Trichlorobacter sp. G1 SAM". It matches the Rfam family "SAM riboswitch aptamer (S box leader)". From Rfam's summary of the family: The SAM riboswitch is found upstream of a number of genes which code for proteins involved in methionine or cysteine biosynthesis in Gram-positive bacteria. The SAM riboswitch acts at the level of transcription termination control. The predicted structure consists of a complex stem-loop region followed by a single stem loop terminator region. Lineage: Bacteria; Pseudomonadati; Thermodesulfobacteriota; Desulfuromonadia; Geobacterales; Geobacteraceae. The record is from RNAcentral.
UCUUUAUCGGGAGCGACCAAGGGACUGGCCCGGUGACGUCGCGGCAACCAUUUUCCCUGGGGUACGGUGCCAACUCCCACGAAGCGGCCGCAGCGGCUUCGACCGAUAAGGA